This 3531-nucleotide long non-coding RNA is filed under the name Daucus carota (carrot). RNAcentral describes it as "long non-coding RNA (DCAR_LNC000719)". Lineage: Eukaryota; Viridiplantae; Streptophyta; Magnoliopsida; Apiales; Apiaceae. The record is from RNAcentral.
AGAAGGGUAGCUGAUAACCAAAUAACACAUCUAAUUUCCAACUGAACUGAAUUGCAGAUUCCAGCUGCAUCUAGUCUUAAUGACAUCGUCCUGGAUACUCUACCUGACCAUCUACCUGAAACUCAACCACUUGCAAUCCUUGCCUAGCCUUAAGUGAAUCAUCUUUAUCCCUAGCUGAAAAGGGUUAGAAAUAAUAGCAAGAAUGAGCAAUAAUGCUCAGCAAGAAUAUGAUAGGUGAAAGCCACAAGAUAUAUAUAUAUUUAAGUGAAUCAGAAUGUUUGAAGUAAAAGUAAACUCUGGUUUAAACAUGAUGUUGUAAAUCAACAGUUCAGUAUAAAAGAGUAAAAUGGUAUACAAUGAUAAAGCAGUUCUGCACCAAUAUAUGAUUUUAAAGCUGUAGAGAUAAAAAUAACUUCCAUUAUCUUUUGAACAUAAGAUAAUCUCCUUUGAAACUAAUCAAUAUUUAAUUGGGUUUAAAUAAGACACCUGGCUAUAACAGAUGAUCAGUCAUGCUAUAGUCCAUAAACCAAGCUUAUUCAGCAAGGUCGACAAAUAUUACGAAUUCCGGUAAUCCGGGCUGAAGGAGCCACCUUUCACGCUGGGCCGAUGUCUGAGCCUCUUACGCAAAACUACCCAAUAUAUUAAAUUUAAAAACUACAGCUUUACAAUGAUUUGAGAAAUUCAAGAAUUCAAGUGGUCUUUCUUGUUAAGCAAAUUUCUUUUCUAGCAAAUCAAAAUAAUUACUACUUUAGUAGUUUGAAAAUCUUUUAUGAAAAUCGAAGUUUAGAUAGCGGGUCAAAGGUAUUAUCAAUUCAACUGAAGGUAUUCAAUUACCAGACAUGCUUCACAAGAAUGAUGUCACGAUAAAAAUGAAUCAUGUUUAAAAGAGAGUUCGGGGUCAAGAGGAAGAUAAAAAUCGCUUACUCUUAACUACAAGAGAAGGAUAGAAAUACUUGCCUUAACUCCGAUGUCUAGUCACGAUUCUAAUAGCACUAUACCGCACAAUCAUAUCUUUCUAAGCAGCUUCUGACAAUACUCUUUCUACGUCUGUCAUCUCAGAUUAUUCUUGCUUCAACUUGCAACACCAUCGGAUUAAUUCUGAACAUUCUCGAUAUACACGUCUUGAUCUAUUCUACACGAUAGUAGGAUAAUAUCUCAGUCAUCGGAUUAAAAGAACUAGCUAAUUCCAAAUAGUAUAGGAACCGCGAACAUCUACCCUUCGCAUAUCCGUAUAUAGUAAACAUGAAUAUAUACAGAUAUCCACAUAACAAUAUAUACACAUUGGAUCAGUCGGCACAUAACCACAUAGUCAAUAAACAAUCAAUACAUAUUCCAGUGCACAUAUAAUAUAAUGCUAUUAACUAUCAAAUAUUUAUUAAUCAAUAAACACCGCUAAUUUUUAACAAAAUUUCGGCAGCAUCUCCUCUAUUUAUCGGACUACCCACCUGUUUACAAUACCAACAACCAACCAAUACUAUUGCUAACACGUGAAUUAUUAAUAUAAAAGGAUGUCUUGACUUAGUAACACAUAAGAAAAUCUUUUAGCACAAUUGCUAAUUCACUAUACACAAAAGACGUUUAAUAUAAAUAUGCAAGGUCAACUGAGCCAAUAAAUUUAAUAAUCAAUCAUAUGCAAUCUACCUCAUACUAUGCACUAACAAAGAAAGAAAAUUUGAGCAAAUAUUUCAAACAGCCUUCACUCUAUGAUUUUUAAUAAAUUGAAAAUUUAUCACUUUAAUAUGAAAUUUUUAUGAGACAUUCCUAAACAUUAUUCCAAUCUACUACAAAACUUUCAGAAGCAAAUUCAAUGUGUUACGGAUUAAAACAGGGCCUGUAAGUCAGGACCUGAAUCUGUCCUGCAGAACCAGCCCCACGCUAAGAAUUUUAAUAUAUAGAAAAAUUGGUCCAUUUGUAUAAAAUUUUGAUGACACAUUCCAGGCCCGAACAUCUAACUCCAGUAAAAUUUUCAGAAGCAAAUUACAAUUACAAGGUAGCAUAACAGGGCCUGGAACAGGACACAUAAAUCUGCCCAGAAUUUUCUGCGCAUACCAUACUAAAACGGUCAUAUCUCCUAACUCGCUAAUCGAAUCGAUUCGAUUCUUUCGCGCACAUAAACUAGACUCUGAGGAGCACAUGAAUCUAAUAAAAUCACAGCUUAGGCAUGAUGUUAAGCUAUUCAAAACAGAGAUCCAAACAGGGGCUGUGCUGCUGCGAAAACUUGACUUCAAGUGACUCGAUAAUUUGUAAACAAUUUCAUAUCAACCACAACCCACAUGUAUACACUGAUUUGAACUCAAAUGAAAUUAGCUACUUAAUAAUCCAAAAAUCAAUUCAAUCCAUAUAAACAAAACACCACAUAUGUAUAUACAACUGAUUAAUAAACCAAAAUCAAGCAUAUACCCCACUGUAGUUCGAAUCAACAGAUUCUAGGAUGGAGUUGGUCGUUGGAGACGGCAAAACGGCGGCGGUGUACCGUGGCAGCAGAGACGGAGCAACAGGGAGAGCAGUGGCGGCGAGAAUGAACAGUGGGAACGGAAAACGACGUUGGAAAUAGAGUGGAGGUGAAAGGAUACAUGCUACGAGGGGUUAAUUUGUCAAAGGAAGAAAGCGAUGUGAGAUUGAAAACCAUAAACGAGGGUUGGGGUUUUGAAAUUAGGGACUAUAAAAGGAAGAGCAGCAUUCGGGGGAAAAGGUACGUGGCGAGAUGAAAGAGGAAGUGUGCCGUGCGUGGCACAUCACCAAGUUUCCAUCUGUUCCCCUAAACUGAUUAAUCAAUUGUCUUACACCCGCUCUUAAUUGAUUUACAGAGAUAACUCGUAGUAAAAUUUCACCCAAAAAUUACCAAAAUAUUAUUAUAAUUCCCCGAAUAUUAUAAAACUAAUAAAAUAAAAGUUUCGGAAUUUACAGAGCAGUUUUGAAAUUUAUACGAAAUUUUUAAGUUAACUGCGUUCAGAAAAUAUUUCAAAAUAGCGCUUUCAUGAGGAUGAUAUAUUUAAAAUUUUAAAAACUCCUAAAGAUAUUUUUAUCAUUUUCAAGUAAUUAAAAGAAUUUUUCAAAUUACUUUUGUAUUUUUAGAAAUUCAUUUUGCUAUAAUCCAUUUUUAAGAGAAUCAUUGUUUAUAAAAAACACAGCAGUUAGUAACACAUAUACGCACAAGCAUGAAUCACAUUCAGAUAAUAAAGUUAAAUCAUUGAACAAGUAGUUCACAUAUUUAACAUGGUAUUCAAUUCAAAACAGACAACAAAAAUUUUGAUAACUUAAGGUACCGGAAUAAUAAUUUAAACAAAUACUUUUAAAAUUUAUCAAACUAAAAUAAAAUAUUAAAUUUUAUUCCGCAUUUUCUGAAGGAUGACAAAUAAACUAACAAAAUAAAUUUUGAAAAAUCCGGGUCGUCACAAUCUACCCCCCUUAAAAGGAUUCCGUCCUCGGAAUCAGCGAAAAGCAAACUAGAGCGUACGAUCACUGUAAUCCGUAAUACUCUUUCUUUCUUAUAUAAAAUUUUUGUUGAUCGACCCGCAUUGUCAUCCGUUU